CCCACAACACACAGGGAUUACAAUUCAAAUUAUAAUUCAAGAUGAGAUUUGGGUAGGGACACAGAGCCAGAACACAUCAGAAUGGAUCUUUCUUCCUGGAACCAGUUGAAACAUUUGAAUAAAAUAUCAGUUUAUAAAUAUAUGUAAAAAUAUGUUUUACAAUUUGUAUAUUUUGUUGUAUUAUUUAUAUUUUUGUUUUUUGAAUCUAUGGUUUAUAUUAAUAUCAUUCUUGCUCUCUCUACAUCUGUCUGUAUCUACAUAUGUAUAUUUGUUUUUUUCUUAGAACAUAACCUAGAUUCCUCUACAGUGUAAGUCCUUUGUUUUCUGGUUUUCUGGCUAAUAAAAGGUUCUUAUUUCUAUCUUGAUCUAGAAAUACCCCCCUUCCAUUUUUUAUGAAGAAAAAAUACUGAAGAUUUUUUUUUUUUUUUUUUUUGCUAGAAGUAGUUUACUGUCUUUCUCUACAACUCAUUCUAAUUUUUUUCUUUUAGACUUUCUACCAUUCUUACUGUCUUCCAGCAAUGUCUCUAUGAUCAUAGAUAGAUAAACUGCAGCCACACUUAGCCAGGAUCAUUUACAUUUACCUGUAUGGCUCUGUGUAUCUUGCUUUUUAUGCUAGGCAGGUUACUGAAUAGUUAGAUAGGAAUUGAAUUCUUGGAAAUCAAGCCAUUGUUCAAAGAUUAGGAAGAACUUAACCAUUUUAAUGAACUUUAUUAUAAACCUUUUUUCUAAGCAAAUAAUCACCCCUUACUUUAUCUUAUCUCCUAUGCAAAUCCUGAUUUUCACAUUUAAGCUUUACUUAACACAGUGCCACUUUGUAUAGUUAUCUUUAAAUAAUGGUCAGUCCCCAAACUUAUAAUUGGAAAGCAAGUAAUUUUCAUUUACUUUCUGGAUUCUACCUCCGGAAAAUCUCUUAUCUCUAUCUUUAUUUUGGUAAUUCUCUUGUAGGGACUUUAAUAGCCCCUGGAAAAUCAUCAUACCUCUGCUUCAAUCUGAAAACAUAACUGGCAGGCAUGAGCCCAGAACAUAUAUUAGGGAACAAAGUACCCAGAGCCAAGUUAAAUGAACUGUUGAUGACUUUUCUGAAAAUCAUAGUAAACCAUGAUUUCCUCACAAAAUAUAGAAGCAUCUGAUUUUUGGCAUUUAAUUCUCAAACAUACUCAGAUAUACUUUCUUCCUCUCCCACUCUGGGUUUAUAUCAUCAUAUAAAUGAGAAAUGGGUCAUCUUGCCUUUGAGUCAUUUAUGAAAAGUUUUUCUUUUCUAGUUCUGAAGAGUGAUUAUUUUGCUUUUAGAGAGAUCUUUCUUUCUGUGGCCAGUUGAAACAUCUGAAUAAAAUAAAUAACAAUUGAAUGUGGAUAUGAAACUUAACUUGUCUUUUUACCAUUAAAUAUAUAUUUGAAAAAUGUGCUCCUUUUAUAGAUUUUCAGCAUGUACCGAUUCCAACCAGAAAACUAAAUAUUAAUAUUCUGCCCCAAAGUGCUGUUUUCCAGCCUCUGCCAAAGCAGAAAAUGCCAAUAACAGGGAGUUUCCAAUCUAACUUUCUAAUACCAGUGAACUUAUCCAUUUCAAAAAGCAUCCAGUCAAAGUGGUCCCAAUAAGAGAAUACUUUGCCUAGAGAAUUUUGGGCUUGAGUUAUCCAUCUCUGUAACUGAAAUCUGCAGGCCCACUCACCCAGGAGAUCUGAGAAUGAAAUUAAAUAUAAAAAUUAGCUUUACUACUGGGAACCUGAAAGUUCAGCUAGUGGGGGAAGGAAAGCGAAGAACAGAAUGUUUUCCAACAAUCUUUGCUUUUGUGAGUGGUCAGCAGAUGUUUUGUGCCUCUGCUGUAUUCCUUGGCUAAGGGUUCACAUGAAAUGUACUCUCUGAAGGCUGUGGCCUUGUUGGAAUGCCAAAUUAGUCGUUGUUCCUCAUGCUCUGAGGUCUAGCUUCACCUUCAGAACCAGGCGAGCUUGGUCCCCACAAAGUCCUACUGGUACUUAAGCCUCCCAUUUCAAGAGGGCAUUUGGGUUCACUACACCUCUCCAAGCCAUCUGAUUAAUUGCAGCUGUGUGCAAAUUAGUUUUCUUCAGGAGCUCUCUCCUGCUCUCAGAUUAGCGACAACAACGUAUUCAGAUGGAAAGCAAAUAAUAGUAGUUGUAAAAUGAGGACACAAAAGAGAUGCAACAUGUUUGCUCUUGAUGGGUGCAUUGAUGUCAGGGCAACUAGGGGGAAAUAAGACCACCUUGGUACUGUUAUCAUUGUCCUGAUGAUGGUCCCGUCUUGCAGAAAAGUCCAAACAGAAGCAGGGGCAUUGUCUAAUCAUUGAUGGUUUUCGUGAUAUUAUUGAGAAGAACAAGCAAAAUUAAUGGUGAUAUUAUAUCUGGUGAAAUGAUUAUAAAUUCUCCCUGCAGUUUUAAUUAGCCCUGCUCUUUUUCUCCUCCUGUUUUAAUCCAAAGCAUAUGUGUAUGUUUGUAUCAGCAAUUUUAAAAUUCUAUGAAGCGUUUGGUAUCAUCCAUCUAGUUUCAAAACAGGUACAGCAUGAUGCAGUGGGAAGAAUGCUAGCCUUGAAGUUAGGACUCCUGAGUUCCUGCCUAGGUCUGCCACUAAGCUGUAGUAUGACCUGUGACAUGACCUUUCAGGACCUUGGUUUCUUCUUAUGUGAGAUGAAGGAUUAAAAUUCAACAGUUUAUUAAAUCACUCCCAACUUUUAAGAUACUCUUAAUUUUAGGAUCCCACGGAGAGGCCUAUCAUGCGCGAGACCAUCCUAUCAUCAAAAGGUGAAUAUCAGGUGAAAGCAAAACAAGCCACAUUAAUUUUUUUCUGUUGUCAGCUUACAAAGCUAUUUUAAGCCUUUGGACAAUAAGAAAUAUACUUUCAUUUCCCUCCAUUAAAUAUACAUUAUCCAUUAAAGUAGAGCGUGUUGUGAACUGACCUUAAGGGAAUUUGCUAGUUUUUUUGUUGAUUUUUGUUUUUUACAGGAAACUAAGUCCUAUGGAACAAAAUAGAAUUACCUUCAUGGAGCAAGGUUAACAAAUUGUCUUCAUUUUUGGUCAACAGGUUGAUUUCUAAUUCCCUCUUAUUCCCUUUAUAUGUAUUUUUGGCUCCCUGUAUUUGUUUUGUGUUGCUAUAAAGAAACAUGUGAGACUAAUGUAUAAAGAAAAAGGGCUUAUUGGGGCUCAUAGUUUUGCAGGCUGUGCAAGAAGCAUAGCACCAGCAUCUCCUUCUGAGGAAGCCCUAAGAAGCUUUCACUCAGAAGGGGAAGGAGAGCUGUGUGUAGAGAUCUCAUGGAGAGAAAGGGAGAGCAAGAGAAAGGAUAGGAGGUUCAGGCUGUUUUUAACAAUCAGAUCUCAUGAAAAUAAAAGAACUCACUCAUUACCUCGAGGAAGGCACCAAGCCGUUCAUGAGGGAUCUGCCCCAUGACCAAACACCUCCCACGAGGCCCUACCUCCAAUAUUGGGGAUCACAUUUCAACAUGAGAUCUGGAGGGGACAAAUAUUUAAACCAUUAAAUUCCUAAAGGACAAAAAAGGGUGAAAUACACACGAGUACUAUAUCUCCAAACAAAUGCCCAGUUAGGUACAGGACGUGUUCAACGGUGUCAGAAAUCCAAAGAGAACCAGAGAUAGUGUGGCUCAGUAGAAAGUAAACGGAUUAUACACACUCAGCAUUGCAAGAAACCUUAACGGGACUGUCGUCCAACCAGACCAGGCAUUAUUCAAAACACUUUUUACCUCCCAAGGUUUGGCUUUCUAGCAUGAGAUGCCAAGUUACAACUGCCCAGAGAAGUCAUUUAAACUGCAAGAGACUCAGCUUUCUCAUCCUUGGAAGAGAGAAAUUGGACAAAAUUAUCUUUAAUUUUUUUUGCCUUAAUAUCCUCUUAUUCUACUAAACAUUUUCAGUAUUACAGAAAUCUGCUCUUGGAGGAAAAGACAUUGCAGGGGGUGGGAGACAACAUUGGUGAUACAGUAAUAAGAGUUUUUUAGAUAGUGGCAAGAUCAAAUGUUUUGAGGUAUGGCAAAACCAUCUAGUAGUUUCACUUCUCCCUGACAGUAAGAAGUUAAGGAGGCCGAUUUUCUUUUCAAGUCAGAACUUCUUGUUAUAACUGGGUAGUAAACAUACUUUUUAAUAAGAAGUGGCUAAGGCUUAAGAAGACCAACUGCUGAUACCCAGAAAUAGCCAAAGAAUACUUCUUUAUUACUGACAGUGCACACUUUGAUAGACCUGUCUUUUACUAUUGAUAGUAUUCUUUCUCUGCUGUUUUUACAAGGAAAAAAAAGCCCAAUGAAAUGUAAACCUUGUUUUCUUCAAUUAUUUGUCCUAGGAGUAUUCAGAGUAAAUUAAAAAAAAAAUACCUUACAUACACUCUAUAAAAUCUUUUAUUUAGAGCAAUUUAAAAAAGCUAUCUUCUUUCAGUCUUAUUAAGGAGAGCAAAUUCCUCCUAGAAGUCUUAUUUCUACUUCUAAUGACAAUUGUUUUAUUAUGUGACAUUCAAAGGAAAAACCUGAAGUCAUAUUUCUAGCAUUUAAUUUCAGAAAUAAUUUAGACUGUUACUUCAAAGCAAAUAUCUGCUAUUCCUGACAUAAAGUUUUAACCCAAGCUUGGUAAUAAAGUUAUCAUAAGAAUAAUAUGGAUUAUUCUCAGGAUGGAAUAGAAUGUCUUGAUUAGGAAGAAACACAUAUAAAAAAUUCAUUUCAUGGAAGAAAAUCUGUGCUGUUUAUCUGGCAAUGGGAAGUCAGAUCAAAAUAUAUUUAUAUGACAUUUUAAUGGGGUCACGUGAGAAGAAAAGAUCUGUCUGUAUGAAUAUUUUUAGCUUCUGAAUUUGACAUAAGAAUAGGAUCAGGAAAAUGAAUUCUGUGUUACAUGACUAAGAUGCAUAUUAGAACUCAGGCAAGAUGAUUCCUGUAGUUGGUCUACUGGGAAAUUACCCUCUGCCUACAGCUUUCAAAUAAAUAUAUAUGUAUGUAUGUAUGUGUGUGCAUAUAUGUGUGUGUGUAUAUAUAUGUGUGAAAUUUACACAUACGCGCACACACACACACAAUGUGUGUGUAAAUUUUCAACUAAGUACAUCAGCACAUAAAAUACACUUGUCCAAGGUAAAAAAGACAAACAGUUAUUAAUAGGGCAAAAAUAAAGUGGGGUUAUACCCAACCAUGGCAUAAUACUUCUCAUUAGAAAGAAGCAUGGUGAGCUAAUUAAGACCCAGUGAUAGUUAGAAAGUCUGAGAACAUUUAUCUCUAGAAAUGGAGUGGUAACUAACGAAAACAAGGACCCAGAACCUCCUAAUACAAAUAUCAGUUAUAUUCCCAGAGAUUUAAAAAUAUAAUAAUUCUUAUUUCUAAUUCAAUGGCCUAGAGUAUAAGUUCGGAUAACUUAACCUUUUUUUUUCUUUUAAGCCUCUCUGAGAAAUAACACAGCUGUUUGGCCUGAGGUAUUCUCUUUAAAGGAAAGAAGUUACAAAGACAAGAAGAAAAAAGUGGAAGAGAAAAAUAAGGAGAAAAAAUAUUCAAACAGUGCAUGACUUAAAAAAACAUUUCACAAACAGCAAGGGGAAUCUUGAAACAAAAUAGAUUUGUUUUAAAAUGCAAAGAGUGAGCCUUACCCGGAAUCGCCCAGUUCUCUUUUGUUGGUUGAGUUCGCUUCCUCCCAUUUCUGCUAACUUUGACCAGCUGCUAACAAGCAAAAGAGCUUCAUAGAGGUCAUCGACACAUGUUCUCUUCUGGGUUAUCGCAAGGCUGACAAAGUGCACCUACCACAAAUUAGAAGAGCACAAAGAUUUCUGUGGGUAUGCCUGCAAAACUCUGACUGGCUGCCAGGCAGCACCUCAGCUCAAUAGCCUUGGGUUUACAUGUGCCUGACCCCACUGCCCAUGGUCACUGAGGGUGGCCCGAGGAUGGAUUCACUUCAUAACCCUUCUCCAUAAUUAUGUGAAUAAUAAAUGAGCUCUAUCCAAUAGAGAAACAGAACACAUUUUAAUACUUUGCUAAGUGAUGAUGAGGAAGGGGACAGAGGAGUUGAGAUGGCUGAGAGAGAACCUGACCUCUGGAGAUGUAAUAAAACAGUGACAGAUAAUGCAAAAAGAGAUUUAAUAUAUUUUUAUAUAUUUAAUAUUUGUCUUCUGUUGCUGACUUUAGCUUUUGAGUCAAUAGUAACUAGGAAGCAUUUUGUCAUCAGAUGGCUCCUCUUCCUCUGGUUUUCUGUAUUAUAUCAUCUGAUAAGGAAGCAGUGAACUUAAAGCUCAGUUCAACACAAUGAUCCUUCAUCAUAGCUGGGUGUGAAGAAUGUUGUUCCCUCAAAUAUGACACAAAUUGUUUGGUCAAUAGAGAAGAGAACUGCAUUCUAUCUUUUCCAAACAUCUGUUGUACUCUGAAACCUUUCUCCUUAGACCAUGGCUGUCUGACCAACAGUAAGUGGAUUUCUUUUAAAUCUUAUCUUCUAUAGAACUGGAUCUCAUUCUGGCCAACAUGGUGAACUCAGUCUCUACUAAAAAUACAAAAAUUAGCCGGGAGUGGUGGCAGGUGCCUGUAGUCUCAGCUACUUGGGAGGCUGAGGCAGGAGAAUGGUGUAAACCCAGGAGGCGGAGCAUGCAGUGAGUCAAGAUGGCACCACUGCACUCCAGCCUGGCAACCGAGCGAGACUCUGUCCCCCAAAAAAAAAGAAAAAAGAAAAAUAGAUCUCACUAGAAGUAUUCUCAAUUCAGCAAUAGUGUCCAGUUUUGAAUCAAAUAUUUUAUAUUUUGAUUAUGUGUAUUAAGAAGCUAAAUCUACUCAUAUACAAAAGGAAAAUCUUUAAAUUUUCAUGUGUUCUGGGUAAAGGCCAGAAUUAAAAGGAAGAGGACGGCUUAUCUAUCAAACUUUUUUGUGCCUUUGAAGCCAUAAACUUGAGAGAAACUUUAGCUUAUUCCUGACCCUGCACCCAAUAAGCAUUUACUUGUAGCAGUCACUCUUGGGUGACUAUAAAUUCACGAAGUCAAGAAUUUGCAUCCUGAAUUAAUUUGUGUAAGAUGUCUAGGGGAAUGCUGAUUUUAUAUUGGAAACAAGGUUAGGGGGAAGCUUCAAAACUGCCUUUAAGGAGUUCUGUAUCUCAGCAUAUUAUAAUUCUUACUUCUACCAUUCUCCGGAGGAAUCAGUCUGAGUGACUUCAUCAGACAAUAUUAGAAAAAUUGCUAGCACUACGAAAUCAACCAGGUCGUGGCAGUAUAUUCCUUGUAAGAAAAUUAGUGCAUUAACUCUUUCCAAUAAGUGAUUGAAUUAGUUUUGCACAUAAUCUAAUUUAUGAAAUGCUGCACUCACAUGUUCGAGUAGUUAGAAAGUGUGUCGAAGCAGAUGUUGAACUGAAGAAAGAAGGUGAAGGUAUUAUAAAAUGGCUAAUCUGUGGGUAUGACCCAAAGCUUUCAGAAAUUUCCUGGCUUCACUUCUUUUUUUCAAUUUAAUGAUUUUUCUUUUCUUAAAGGCAAAAUUGCCAAUGAGUUAAAUGUUGAUGCUUUGAUGUUAGCAAGACGGAGUUCCUAUGUCCAUCACUUAUUAAAUCUAUUUUCUUAUCAAUUUGUUUGGCUUCUCUAAGUCUUAUUUUCUUGUUUGUAAAAGGAAGAUCUAAUAAUAGAACUGGCCUUGUAGAAUUGUUGUGAGGAUUAAAUGUGGCAACCCAUGGUUAUUGGCUUAGUGCAAAGCCUGUCACAAAGAAAAACUCUAAGUUCUAGCGGCUAUUUUUCAUCUUUUCAUUAUCACCAUUACUUAAGAGAGAUGCAAAGUGAUAGUAUCAUGCAAACAUUUUCAUGGAGAGUUAAAUGAACAUCUGUUUUUCCUGUUCUUCAAUUUUUUUUUUUAAUUAUACUUUAAGUCCUGGGGUACAUGUAGAGAACAUGCAGGUUUGUUAUAUAGGUAUACAUGUGCCAUGGUGAUUUGCUGCACCCAUCAACUUAUCAUCUACAUUAGGUAUUUCUCCUAAUGCUAUCCCUCCCCUAGGCUCCCACCCUCUGACAGGUCCUGCUGUGUAAUAUUCCCCCUUCCCUGUGUCCUUGUGUUCACAUUGUUCAACUCCCACUUAUGAGUGAGAACAUGCGGUGUUUGGUUUUCUGCUCCUGUGUUAGUUUACUGAGAAUGAUGGUUUCCCGCUUCAUCCAUGUCCCUGCAAAGGACAUUAACUCAUCCUUUUUUCAUGGCUGCAUAGUAUUCCUUGGUGUAUACAUGCCACAUUUUCUUUAUCCAGUCUAUAAUUGAUGUGCAUUUGGGUUGGUUCCAAGUCUUUGCUGUUAUGAAUAGAACUGCAAUAGACAUACGUGUGCAUAUGUCUUUAUACAGAAUGAUUUAUAAUCCUUUGGGUAUAUACCCAGUAAUGGGAUUGCUGGGUCAAUUGUUUUUAAAGACACAUUGCAUAAAACUGACUAAUGCCAUUCACGAUGACAGUGAGUUUCAAAGGCAAAUGGCUAUCUUAGUCCAUUUAGAGUGCUAUAACAAAAUGCCACAAAGUUAGGUACAUUAUAAACAACAGAAAUAUAUUUGUCACAGAUCUGUAGGCUGGGAAGUCUGACAUCAAGACCCUGGCAGAUUUGAUGUCUGGUGAGAGCUUGCUUCCUGGUUCAUAGAUGGUGCCUUCCAGUUAUGACCUUACAUGAUGGAAAGGACAAGGGGUCUCUCUGGGACCACAUUUUCAAGAGAAUCCCACUUAAUGAGGGCUGUGCCAUCAUAACCUAAUCACUUCCCAAAAACUCCACCUCCCGACACCAUUACAUUGGUGAUUAGCUUUCAAUAUAUAAAUUUGGGUGCUGGGGUGGGGCACAAACAUUCAGACCAUAGCAGUGGCAGUUCGGAGGAAGUAAAUUUUGAAUGCUCAUUUCCAUGUAAAGGCUUCAUUUGCUUUAAACAAUUUAUUUAACUUUUAUUGUGCUUUUUCUGAAAAUGAAGAAAUAACAUUUAGCUACACAUAGGGAGGGUAUGUUAUUUCUAAAGUAAAAAUUAACUCUUUUGUAAAUGUGGCAUUGUUUAAUAAUAGUUCACCCUAUCCAAUGAUACUUAGCUUUUUUACUUAUAGAAAUAAAUUAUUAGGUUACUGUGUUUUUUUUUUUUUCUUUUGGUGGAGGGGGGUAUUAUGAUCUUAUCCUCAGUCCUCAAAACACUGUUGAACAGGGAACAUCUGCCCUCAUUUCAACCUUAUUUCUUUAGUACCAACUGCAGCCAUGUUUAUAAUCUUUGUUUUCAUCCAAGUAAAGCUGAGGGAGGGGAAGGGGAAUCCACUGAGAAAAAGAUUUUCCCCAAAGAGUGACUGAGCCUUUGAAAAGAAAAUCAGCUAUAUGAAAGGGGAAGAAUGUUUAAUCAUUCAAAGCAAUAAUUGCAUUGUAAAUAUUAGCUCAGCUGAUAAGGAGUGGAGAACCAAGAGAAUGAGGGAGCUGUUACGCUGUUUUAUCUUGUUGGAUGCCUUUAGUCAGUGCUCUAGCAUGGGGGCCACGUCUUGGGAGGGAAUCCACUGCAGCUACAUUUAAGGUCACCUAAUAAACCAUGCUGUGUUCUUUCUUUUCUUCUAGACUCUAUUCCUUCAUUUUUUAUCCUGAACUUUAAGCAAGGAAACUGCCAGUCAUAGAGCAUUUCCUUCUACACUUCCAUGUUCCUGUUAUGCAGAGAAAUCUGAAGGGCAGGCUGAUGGCCAGGCGGGGGGUACUAAUUAACUACGUGACUUUAUCUAGGUCAAAAAAAAUGAGAUAAAAAACAUGCAAAACCAUUCACCUAUAUAGACCUGUUCUCAAGGCAGUGUUUACCCUAGUGUAUCUGCUAAUUCCUUUCAAGUCUGGAAAACUGUUUUCUUUGACAUUUUUGGAAUGCUGUGAUCUGAACCCUUAUACUAUUUUGUUUUCCUUUGUGGUACUAAUAUUCUGAUUUUUAAACAAUUAAAUCUGCUCUAAAUUUGUCUCGCCGUCUUCUACAUCUUCUUCCAACAUUUACAUAGACAUGCAUGCACGUUCAUACACACCACACAACUACAAGUCAUUUCAGACAAAUGGUCUUAUCUAAUUCUUUUUAGUGUUUCCAUUUUAUUAUUUGUCAAAUUGAAUGGAACUUCCAGGAUUUGCCCUGCUGACAUUUAGGCAGACUUGCAUAAAAUACAAGAUUAGUUCUAGCUGGAUAAGAAGCUCAGCUAUCAGAUAGUGUUGCUGAUUUAUACAGUAGGAGGAAGGAAAAAAAACUGCACUCCAGCCUGGGUGACAGAGCGAGACUCCGUCUCAAAAAAAAAAAAAAAAAAAAAAAAAAAAAAAAAAAAGUAGAAACGCCCUGAAGCAAUUGACUUUUAGCCUAUCCAAAUAUUACAAACUCUGUCUUUAUGCAAAAAUUAGAGUCACAGUACCUUCAGAUAUCCUUCCAAUUCUCUUUCAACAAAACAAUUUUUCUUUUCUUUUUCUGCUCUUCACUGAACCUUUACUGUAUUCAAUGUGCAACAGUGCACCUUUUACAUUCAUUUGGCUCAUGGGCUCUUGCAAUAACCCUUUGCUGUGUGAUAAUAUCUCAUUUAUGGUAACUUCUGUGACACUGGUAGGGGACAGAUACAGUGGACAUGUGCCCAGUAAUGCCUUCACUGUGCUCUAUUGUAAUAGAUUGCUCACUUAUUUGCUACUUUCCUCAUCACCCUAUCUCUCAUUCACUAUAAUAUCUUUAGCAAAUCACAUAGUGCCACAUAAAUAAAUGGUACUCAUUCAAUAUGGACCAUAUGGAUGAAUCUCUGCUUAUGAAACAUGAGAGCCCUGUGUGCAGUUAUUCUGUCCGGGAACUCACCUUCUCUGGCAAUGUGAGACCAUAUGUUUAACAUGACCAGUACGGAAGUAGAAGGAAUCUUCUACUACUUUUUACGUUCUUUUUUCUUUCAAAAGUUUCAUAAACUUCAAGUAUUUAAAAAAAACAGUUCUAAUAUGUUCAUACAGUUUGCUUUCAACAAUAACUGCACACGUGCACUGACCUGUGAAGAUGUUUCCAGUAUGAAGUAGAAAAAAUGGGUUUUAAACAUCAUAUAUAAAACUAAUCAAUUGUUUAACAUAUAAAUGCAUACCUGUAUCCAGGCACAUGUUCUUUGAUUAUUCUCAUUUAACCAGUCCGCUAUUGUUGAAUACUUGACCUGUUUCUAAUGUUUCUUUCAAAUAUUUUAAUAUAACUUCUCUGUGUGCUUAUCUAAUUCUUUUGUUUAGAUAAAACGUUUCAUAUGGUAUCCACUUUACGCCAUUAUUUGAUAUGAUUUUCCUCUCAGCCUCUAGGAAUGGGUUUUUCUCUGAGGGUAGUGGCUGCCACUCUGUCUAGUGGCUGAAUAUGACUUCAUGUCACGUGGCUAAUUAUUCAUGGCGAAGGUUGUCCGCAUCUUAUGUAUCAGUGAGUUACCUGACACCCCCUAAAAAUUAUUUUUUUUUCCCCAGAAAGCUUGCUGCUGAGCUGAAUUUCCAUGAUCAGAUGGCGGCAAGGGCCAAGUCUUCUCACAUAAAGAGAAAUCACAUUGAAUCUGCUACAUAUGACCACUGGCCAGGGAGCCUUGUCAUCACUGCAUUCUGGGGAACUGUGCUCAAUUUAAAAAGUUGAAGCUGCUUGCUGGCUUCCUUACUGAUAGUUUUGAAUGUGUAAUCUCACAAAGAUCUUCUUAGCCCUGGCAAAGCUGAGCCUGUCUAAAACCUUUAUGUUAGAAUAUACAUGAAUUCAUUUGUGCUGGCAUCAAACAUUUCUUGAGUAUUUACCAUGUUAUUGGCUCAUCUUAAAGUCAAGCUACAAAGGACCAGUAGGGGUUAACAGGAAGGCAGGAAGAAGAAGGGCACUGCUGCUGGCAGAGGUUGCCACAUGUAUAGAAUAUAGUGGUGAACCUACGUGGUGCAUUUGGAAUUGCAAGUAGUCUGGUUUUGCUGGAAGUGAGUUUGCAAGCUGAGGAGUAACAAGAAAUAAGGCUGAAUAGCAUACCAGGAAGUGGUAGAUUGCAGAGACCCCUGGAUCACCAUGGCACUUAUCACACUACUUGCUGACUUGUGUUUUGGUUUAUUUCCUGAUGAGCUUUGAGCCAGAACUUUAAUGCAAAUUCUUGUUCUCAUGUGUAAAAAUUACUACAAUGGCUUCCCAUUGCUCUUAGAGAAGACAAAAUCCUUAAUAUGGGCUAGAAGGUUCAGUACUAUCUGUCUCCUGCUUCUGUAAUCUUAUUCCUCACUAGGUCUGCCUUCUUCCUCCCAGCCCUACUGGGCCCAUUCUCUGGGCUUCAAUAUUACAGACCUUACUUUAAUUUCGCUAAUGGGAAAUGUUGCUGCCUUCCAACAAAGGGCUUUGGCAUGUGCUGUUUAUAUGAAAUCCUCUUUUCUUCCUGCCACUCUUGCCUAUUACUAUUCUUAUUUCUCAGCUCUCAGGGUUUUUUUUUUACUCAGAGAAAUCUUCCCUGAGUUCCCUGACCAUGUCAAAAUUUUCACUUAUAUGCUGUCAUAACCUCAUGCACUUCUCUUUUACAGUACUUUAAAUUGUCAGUGAUACAUUUGUGUAAUUAAUGAAUGUUCCUUUCUUCCUAAUAGGUGACAUCAUCAUCUAUACCAUCAUUAUUAAAUGAGCCAGCAUCAGUUUCGGUACUUAUCAUAUGUCCUAUACUGUUCUAAACACACUAUAUGUAUUAACUCAUUUAAUUCCCAUAACAGUCCCUAUUAAACAGAUAACACUGAGAAAUAAAAAAGUAAGCCACCCAAGGUUACACAGCUAAUAGGUGAUGAAGUUAGAAUUAGAACUCAGGCAGACUGGAUCUGGAAUCUAUUCUCUUAACCUCUAUCUUUGCUGACUGGUAGGUUACAGACCUAACAUAUAGUAGUUGCUCAAUAAAUAUUUGAUGAAAGUAUAAAUGAAUAAACCAAUUAAUGAAUACUUUAUAUGUGUCCCACUCUUAACUGAGGACAAUUGGGUCUGUAGAUACAAAAGAACCAUAGUAGACUCUUCACUGGCAGGAAUGUGUUCUAGAGGAUCAGGGAAAGAGAAACCACAGAAUAACUUUAUGUGAUUUAUGAUGAAAGUCUUUCAAGUAGAGGAAAAUUAUAAAAUGCUAACCAAAAAGAUUCGUUGUUUGGUUUAUGUGUUGAUCACUGAUCUUUUCCCCAAUAGACUGGGGUUUGCUGAGUGUCUGUAAUCCCAUAGGUGGAUGUUUAUGAUCUGAAGUGACAAUGCAAUAUUUGCUCAGCAUUUCCUGUACCUGAAACAUCCCUUGAAAACUGAAAUAGAAAGAGUAAGUCAAUGGUAAUAUCAUCCAGCACUCUGCCAGGCUUAUGGUGACCUUGCUUACCCAAAAGCAAUUUACUUCCCUCUCAUUUCUAUAUAAGUACUUUACAGCUUUGUGUUUUCAUGCAUUGAGAUUUCCCUAUGAGUCUGAGAAGAUCUCCAGGAACAAAAGAGGAAAGAACAAUGAAUAAACUAGUUCUAGGACUUGGGACAUUGGAUUAUAUUCAGAAACCCACUGUCAGACCAUUGAACUGCCUUCACAUUCAUUACCAGACUCUGAAAAAGCAUAUUCAGUCUCUCCAUGGACUGGCCUUCACAUAUGCCUUGCUGAGAUAUCUGGUAGAAAUAUCUGCCCAAAAGAUUAUUUUUUAUGGAAAAAAAUAGUGCCAUGCCUAUUCUAAAUAUUAUUUUCUGUUUAUCAACUGCAUUCAGGCAGUGCUAAGUAGAUGAUUGAUGCUGAAAUUUUACUAGAUAAUCUUUGCUCUCUCUGUUUUUAUAUGACACAUGGGGCAAAUAGGUGAGAUAAGCAAUUAGUGAAAUUCUGGAAGGGACAGAUUAUGUCAUACUAUUGAAAGGGGCAAAUAGGUGAGAUAAGCAAUUAGUGAAAUUCUGGAAGGGACAGAUUAUGUCAUACUAUUGAAAAGGACAGGAAGUGGAUUAAGUAUUUUAUUUAUAUAUAUAUAUAUAUAUAUAUAGUGUGUGUGUGUGUGUGUGUGUGUGUGUAUAACAAGUUAGUUUCCUUUCCCCACCACUGACAUUGUUAAAUGGAGUGGUGACAUAGACACUUUACUUCUCUACUCCUGGAUUUACUAGUAAAGAAGAAAUAUAUAAAAGAGCAAGACAGUACUGAUCUGGGGUGGUACUAUGGUAUAUAUUUAUACCAUACCAUAAUUCUAUGAUCUAUUAAUGUCACAACCAGCUACAUUUAGCUGGCUUUUAUAUACAAAUGUGCAUAGUACUGUUUUGUAUUAAAUAUCACCAGAAGAUAUUUGUUACAUAAAAACAGUGAGAUUAAUGUUUAUAUAUUUUGGUACUCAUGCUAGAGUUGAAUGAGGUUCUGACUCUGGGGAUAACUCUAGGUAUCCUGGAAAACCUCCACAUAUACACUAAACCCAGAAUCAAUUCAGAUAGGCAUUAUUGUUUGUAGUCAUCUAAUUUCAAGUUAGCGUAGUAGGAUAUGGAUUGUGGGUGGGGUGGAGGGUGACUCUUAGUGCCAGAGAAAGCUUAAAUUACUCAUAGGGAAAGAUAUUCAGCAUAAGAUGGAUAAAACUGAAAUCAGAUGCCCGGACUCUAAAGGACUGGGCUCUAACUGAAAAAAAAAAAAAAAAAAAAAA
Non-coding RNA from Macaca mulatta (Rhesus monkey), 14505 nucleotides. Lineage: Eukaryota; Metazoa; Chordata; Mammalia; Primates; Cercopithecidae. The record is from RefSeq and is a predicted model, not a curated record.